Molecule: ribosomal RNA, 1477 nt
Filed under: Listeria monocytogenes
Lineage: Bacteria; Bacillati; Bacillota; Bacilli; Caryophanales; Listeriaceae
Description: partial 23S ribosomal RNA
Rfam family: Bacterial large subunit ribosomal RNA
Source: RNAcentral
GAGAAAGAAAAAUCGAUUCCCUGAGUAGCGGCGAGCGAAACGGGAAGAGCCCAAACCAACAAGCUUGCUUGUUGGGGUUGUAGGACACUCUAUACGGAGUUACAAAAGAACAUGUUAGACGAAUCAUCUGGAAAGAUGAAUCAAAGAAGGUAAUAAUCCUGUAGUCGAAAACAUAUUCUCUCUUGAGUGGAUCCUGAGUACGACGGAGCACGUGAAAUUCCGUCGGAAUCUGGGAGGACCAUCUCCUAAGGCUAAAUACUCUCUAGUGACCGAUAGUGAACCAGUACCGUGAGGGAAAGGUGAAAAGUACCCCGGAAGGGGAGUGAAAGAGAACUUGAAACCGUGUGCUUACAAGUAGUCAGAGCCCGUUAAUGGGUGAUGGCGUGCCUUUUGUAGAAUGAACCGGCGAGUUACGAUCUGAUGCAAGGUUAAGCAGCAAAUGUGGAGCCGCAGCGAAAGCGAGUCUGAAUAGGGCGUUGAGUAUUUGGUCGUAGACCCGAAACCAGGUGAUCUACCCUUGGUCAGGUUGAAGUUCAGGUAACACUGAAUGGAGGACCGAACCGACUUACGUUGAAAAGUGAGCGGAUGAACUGAGGGUAGCGGAGAAAUUCCAAUCGAACUUGGAGAUAGCUGGUUCUCUCCGAAAUAGCUUUAGGGCUAGCCUCAAGUGAUGAUUAUUGGAGGUAGAGCACUGUUUGGACGAGGGGCCCCUCUCGGGUUACCGAAUUCAGACAAACUCCGAAUGCCAAUUAAUUUAACUUGGGAGUCAGAACAUGGGUGAUAAGGUCCGUGUUCGAAAGGGAAACAGCCCAGACCACCAGCUAAGGUCCCAAAAUAUAUGUUAAGUGGAAAAGGAUGUGGCGUUGCCCAGACAACUAGGAUGUUGGCUUAGAAGCAGCCAUCAUUUAAAGAGUGCGUAAUAGCUCACUAGUCGAGUGACACUGCGCCGAAAAUGUACCGGGGCUAAACAUAUUACCGAAGCUGUGGAUUGUCCUUUGGACAAUGGUAGGAGAGCGUUCUAAGGGCGUCGAAGCAUGAUCGCAAGGACAUGUGGAGCGCUUAGAAGUGAGAAUGCCGGUGUGAGUAGCGAAAGACGGGUGAGAAUCCCGUCCACCGAUUGACUAAGGUUUCCAGAGGAAGGCUCGUCCGCUCUGGGUUAGUCGGGUCCUAAGCUGAGGCCGACAGGCGUAGGCGAUGGAUAACAGGUUGAUAUUCCUGUACCACCUAGUAUCGUUUUAAUCGAUGGGGGGACGCAGUAGGAUAGGCGAAGCGUGCUGUUGGAGUGCACGUCCAAGCAGUAAGGCUGAGUGUUAGGCAAAUCCGGCACUCAUAAGGCUGAGCUGUGAUGGGGAGAGGAAAUUGUUUCCUCGAGUCGUUGAUUUCACACUGCCGAGAAAAGCCUCUAGAUAGAUAACAGGUGCCCGUACCGCAAACCGACACAGGUAGUCAAGAUGAGAAUUCUAAGGUGAGCGAGCGA